UCCCAUUUGGCUCAGUUGGUAGAGCAUGGUGUUUGCAAUGCCAGGGUUGUGGGUUCAAUUCCCACGGGGGAC
This 72-nucleotide transfer RNA is filed under the name Salmo salar (Atlantic salmon). It matches the Rfam family "tRNA". Rfam says of the family: Transfer RNA (tRNA) molecules are approximately 80 nucleotides in length. Their secondary structure includes four short double-helical elements and three loops (D, anti-codon, and T loops). The record is from Rfam by way of RNAcentral. Lineage: Eukaryota; Metazoa; Chordata; Actinopteri; Salmoniformes; Salmonidae.